Molecule: unclassified non-coding RNA, 273 nt
Filed under: uncultured fungus
Lineage: Eukaryota; Fungi
Description: partial contains 5.8S ribosomal RNA, internal transcribed spacer 2, and large subunit ribosomal RNA
Rfam family: 5.8S ribosomal RNA (bases 1-52)
Source: RNAcentral
AACGCACAUUGCGCCCUUUGGUAUUCCGAAGGGCAUGCCUGUUCGAGCGUCAUUAUCAACCCUCAAGCCCUGUGCUUGGUACUGGACGGUUUGGUGCGGCCAUCGGCCCUACCCCUCCUAAAGACAAUGACGGCGGCCUGUGAUUCCCCCGGUACACUGAGCUUUUAACUAGGCACGUAUCGGACAAGGGCGUCCAGGACCCGGUCCUUCUCCUUUCACGAGGAAAUUUACAAGGUUGACCUCGGAUCUGGUAGGAAUACGCGCUGAACUUAA